RNAcentral lists this ribosomal RNA (371 nucleotides) under uncultured organism. Its description in RNAcentral is "partial 16S ribosomal RNA". It matches the Rfam family "Bacterial small subunit ribosomal RNA", at positions 527 to 896 of the family's 1533-position model. The record is from RNAcentral.
GGAGGGUGCAAGCGUUGUUCGGAUUUACUGGGCGUAAAGAGUGUUUAGGCGGGUUUGUAAGUCAGGUGUGAAAGCCCCCGGCUCAACCGGGGAGGGUCGCUUGAUACUGCAAAUCUUGAGUAACGGAAAGGUAGGCGGAAUUCCUAGUGUAGAGGUGAAAUUCGUAGAUAUUAGGAGGAACAUCAAUGGCGAAGGCAGCUUACUGGCCGAUUACUGACGCUCACACACGAAAGCAUGGGUAGCAAACAGGAUUAGAUACCCUGGUAGUCCAUGCCGUAAACGAUGGAUACUAGGCGUUGGAGGAAUUGAUCCCUUCAGUGUCGUAGCUAACGUGUUAAGUAUCCCGCCUGGGAAGUACGGCCGCAAGGCUA